GCUAGCCUCCGGACUUCCCCCAAAUUAAUAAUCUUCCUUGACAACUCUUGAGAAAGCUGAGCCUGGCGAGAAAUAUCCUCAGUUGAAGAGAUACCAGAUGUCGUAGUACAACUAGCUGAGCUCCCAUUUUCACCAUCACUACAGCAAUUACUACUAUUAUUACCAUUUAAAGGACCAACAAUUUCCGCCUUAGGGCCCGGAGGCGGCACAGGACGCGUUUCAGCUCUAAUUACAGCAGGAGGCGGCAUUGGAACUGGCAAAUUUACCGGAGACUCUGCACUAACCGAUGAUUUUACAGCUGAAUUCUUUGACCGAUUCAUAUCCUCACUGUCAAUUGAAGUCUCCGCAGGAGUUAACGAUUGUUGUGGUGACGGCGAACGAGAAGACCAGAGAGAAUUGUUGAGCCAAUCGGGAACGUGAUUCUUCGCCAUUCUCGAUUUUUUCAGAGCGAAAUUGAAAUGAAGAAUCGGAGAGUAGUGGAAGAGGAAUUGAACUUAUACGUAAAGCAGUUGGAAAAUUGGGGGCGCCAUUGAUGAUGAUCAGCGAGUUUUGGAGCAGCGAGAAUGAGGAGUGAGAG
This 577-nucleotide unclassified non-coding RNA is filed under the name Hevea brasiliensis (rubber tree). Lineage: Eukaryota; Viridiplantae; Streptophyta; Magnoliopsida; Malpighiales; Euphorbiaceae. The record is from RNAcentral.